CCUGACUUGGCAGGUGGCCACCAGCCACUGUGCCUCCUUCUGGGACCAAGCGGUGCAGAGAGGAGGGGGUUGUGUCCGAAUGUCAAUCUUCACAGACCGCUCCUCCCCCUGCAGAGGUGGGAUUCACCCAUCACCUGCUUCUCCAGGCCCUCCCGCCAAUAUUCUGCUGAGUCUUAAUGAUAAGGACCUUGACUGCUGUGGGUGUGCUCACUGUGGUGGACGUGGACACCUCUGCCUACGUGCCCAGACGCUGGUUGCAGUACAGAUUCCAUAUUAAGCAGUAGUAAGGCCGAAGAGCACUAGCUGGGGCCAACCCUGCCUUUACGAGGUGCUUCCUGCUUACAUUAUUGUUAAAUGUGAGCUCAUUCCUCACUCAGUACCCAUCCCCACCCCGUUCCAUUACCACCGGUAGAAAAGCUAUUUUAUCCUCUUCUCUUCCUCAAAGCCUCAUAAAGGCAUCAGGAUCCCCCCUUCCUCCCUCCCUCUCUUUCUCUCUCCCUCCAUACCUACUUCCUUCCUUCUCUCUCUCUCUCUCUCUCUCUCUCUCUCUCUCUCUCUCUCUCUCAGAGUGGCAUCCUCUGGGUUCCCUUUGGGAUCUUCACUUUAUCUCUCCUGCCAGGGAGCCAAAGGCCUUCCUCAGGAGAACCCCAUCACGAUUUAGUAACAUGGCACUCCCACCCAGCACUCAUAGACUGGUCUACUCAGUGGUAGAUACAAGUCCAGUGGCCACUGUGUGCUUUUCUCAUUCCCCAUUGAAGAGAAUAUUUGACUAACCCCAUUUGUCCCUGACACUAUGACCUGAUAACUCUCAGUUCAAUCCCCUGACCUACAUGGUUUCAUCCAAAUAAAGAUUCUCCAGUUAACAACAGGCCCUGUUCCAAGUAAAAGUUAUCCCAACUGAAACCAUUUCCAGGACUCUGAAAGAGACUGAGGAACAGACUCUUGAAGAAGGGUGUUUGCCAUUGGUCAGUUCAGAGAGUGAAUGGGAAGCCCUGCAGGAAUUUUAUUUGUUUAUUAUUUGUUUUAUAGUCUUAUCUCAUUUCACAAAGGAUCCAACUGUGAAGUCUGGUCAUCUCUGUUCUCUCUCACCUCCCCCAUUCCCAACCCCUGAAUUUUAAUCAUUCCUGAAAACUAACACACUCCCUCUCUCUUUCUCUCUCUCUCUCUCUCUCUCUCUCUCUCUCUCUCUCUCUCUCUCUCACACACACACACACACACACACACACUUGUUUUUGGCUUGGAAAUCGAUAAAAAUGUCUCACUCAAAAAAUAAAGAAGCCACAAACCCAGAGCAAUAGUGCUCCUGUAGUCCCUGCUACUGGGAGGCUGAGGCAUGAGGAUCACUUGAACCUAAGAAUUCAAGACCAUCCUAAGAAACGUAGGGAAAAACUAACCCCCCCCAAAAAAAAGUCCAGCAUCCAUUCGCAGAAUAUUCUAACUUCUAGCCCUAUUCAUUGUCUUAGUUUUACAAAGUAUAAAACUGUCUUUUAAUGAUCUCAGAGGGUUCCUGACAAUUGAGCUAAAGCAAUCUUGAUAUGAGGGUCCUACUUUAUACUAGAUGAGCCUCCAAACUUAGAAAGCUUAAUGAACAUUUUCUUUCCACCUCCAGGAAAAUAUCCCCAUGCAGAACUCGAAGAAAUUGAUCACUUUAAUUAUGUUCUAAAAAUUAAUAUAAAAUAAUGAAUAAUGUAGAAGAAUUAAAAAUUUUUGAUUGAUGAAAGGCUUGAUGCUGUAUAGUCUUGGAAAAGUUCCUAAAUCAGUCAGGCCUACUUUUUAAUUACUAUAAAAUGGGAAUGAUAAUAUAGUGAGUAUUAAAUGAGUUAAUAUAUAAAGAAUGGUUUAACCAUGCCUGGUAAAUAGUAAGCACUCAAAUAAAUGUCAGCUACUGUUACCAUUAGUGUUCCUGUUAGCACUGCAGCAUGUGUGUAAUAGAAUGAACAACAGAUGACACUCUCUAAUACACAAAAGAGAUCUAUCUGAGUACCACAGCCUUACCAGUUUCUGGUUUACACUGUCUUCAAACUGUGCAAUCACUAAAAUAUUUAACAUAGCAGCAAUGAAAGCAGUCCAAAAAAGCAUGACGCCUUCUAUAACUCAUCUGACAAAGCUGAAGUUAGCCCUUGCUAAUUGCAUUUCUUUGUCAUUCACAACUGAAAGGAAAACCCAAAGUCAGCAGAAUUAUAUCACUCGUGCCUAUUGCCUAGUCAUUCCCCUAACCGAAGGCAGAUGACCAGAAAAUGUCACUGCCCCAGGAGUGCAGUCAAUGGAACUAGAAAACCAGAGCCAAUGUCUGAUGCCCCUGUCCAGGACCCAGUUCCUGACCUUAAGAAAGGACAAGUGUUCCAAAUACUGUCAACAAAAUGCACUAUAGUAAAAUAUUUU
This 2382-nucleotide long non-coding RNA is filed under the name Marmota monax (woodchuck). Lineage: Eukaryota; Metazoa; Chordata; Mammalia; Rodentia; Sciuridae. The record is from RNAcentral.